GACGAAGGGGGCUAGCGUUGUUCGGAAUUACUGGGCGUAAAGGGCGCGUAGGCGGAUGUUUAAGUCAGCGGUGAAAGCCCAGGGCUCAACCUUGGAACUGCCAUUGAUACUGGACAUCUUGAGUACGGGAGAGGUGAGUGGAACUCCGAGUGUAGAGGUGAAAUUCGUAGAUAUUCGGAAGAACACCAGUGGCGAAGGCGACUCACUGGCCCGUUACUGACGCUGAGGCGCGAAAGCGUGGGGAGCAAACAGG
Molecule: ribosomal RNA, 253 nt
Filed under: uncultured bacterium
Lineage: Bacteria
Description: partial 16S ribosomal RNA
Rfam family: Bacterial small subunit ribosomal RNA
Source: RNAcentral